RNAcentral lists this ribosomal RNA (328 nucleotides) under uncultured eukaryote. RNAcentral describes it as "partial 18S ribosomal RNA". It matches the Rfam family "Eukaryotic small subunit ribosomal RNA", at positions 1470 to 1796 of the family's 1831-position model. The record is from RNAcentral.
CCCUUAGAUGUUCUGGGCUGCACGCGCGCUACACUGACAUGUCCAGCGAGCUCCCAACCUGCUCGGCAAAGAAUGGGUACCCUUUUUAACGCAUGUCGUGAUGGGGAUAGAUUAUUGCAAUUGUUGAUCUUGAACGAGGAAUUCCUAGUAAGUGCAAGUCAUUAGCUUGUGCUGAAUACGUCCCUGCCCUUUGUACACACCGCCCGUCGCUCCUACCGAUUGGGUGUGCUGGUGAAAUGUUCGGAUCGGCCGUUUGUCGCGGUUUCCGCGGCUCGUGGCUGAGAAGUUCAUUAAACCCUCCCACCUAGAGGAAGGAGAAGUCGUAACA